This 625-nucleotide ribosomal RNA is filed under the name uncultured bacterium. RNAcentral describes it as "bacterial SSU rRNA". It matches the Rfam family "Bacterial small subunit ribosomal RNA", at positions 216 to 833 of the family's 1533-position model. The record is from RNAcentral.
CGCGAUUGGAUGAACCUAGGUGGGAUUAGCUAGUAGGUGAGGUAAUGGCUCACCUAGGCGACGAUCCCUAGCUGUUCUGAGAGGAUGAUCAGCCACACUGGGACUGAGACACGGCCCAGGCUCCUACGGGAGGCAGCAGUGGGGAAUAUUGCACAAUGGGCGCAAGCCUGAUGCAGCCAUGCCGCGUGUGUGAAGAAGGCCUUCGGGUUGUAAAGCACUUUCAGCGAGGAGGAAAGGUUAACGAUUAAUACCCGUUAGCUGUGACGUUACUCGCAGAAGAAGCACCGGCUAACUUCGUGCCAGCAGCCGCGGUAAUACGAGGGGUGCAAGCGUUAAUCGGAAUUACUGGGCGUAAAGCGUACGCAGGCGGUUGAUUAAGCGAGAUGUGAAAGCCCCGGGCUUAACCUGGGAACUGCAUUUCGAACUGGUCAACUAGAGUCUUGUAGAGGGGGGUAGAAUUUCAGGUGUAGCGGUGAAAUGCGUAGAGAUCUGAAGGAAUACCGGUGGCGAAGGCGGCCCCCUGGACAAAGACUGACGCUCAGGUACGAAAGCGUGGGGAGCAAACAGGAUUAGAUACCCUGGUAGUCCACGCCGUAAACGAUGUCUACUCGGAGUUUGGUGCCUU